Molecule: unclassified non-coding RNA, 613 nt
Filed under: Hevea brasiliensis (rubber tree)
Lineage: Eukaryota; Viridiplantae; Streptophyta; Magnoliopsida; Malpighiales; Euphorbiaceae
Source: RNAcentral
AGCUGGUUUUUUACCAUUUCAAGAUGAUAAUAUCAUGGCUAUGUAUAAGAAAAUUCACAAGGGUGAUUUCAAGUGUCCACCUUGGAUGUCAUCUGAUGCAAAGAAGUUGAUUGUAAAGAUGUUGGAUCCGAAUCCGAGAACUCGAAUUACUGCUUCAAAGAUUAUGGAGUCUAAUUGGUUCAAGAAGACUGUGCCAAGGACUUUGAGGAGUAAGGUGGAGGAAGAGUUUUCUCAUGUGGGAGACGAAGAUUGUGUAGGGAAGGCGAAAAAGAUUGAGUCUUUGAAUGCUUUUCAUAUCAUUUCAUUGUCGGAGGGGUUUGAUUUGUCUCCUUUGUUUGAGGAAAAGAAGAAGAAGGAGAAGGAACAGUUGAGAUUUGCAACAACAAAGCCAGCUAGUAGUGUGAUUUCGAAGCUCGAGGAAGUAGCUAAAACGUCGAAAUUCAGCUUGAAAAGGAGUGAUUCUAGUGUUAGAUUGCAGGGGCAAGAGAGUGGGAGGAAAGGGAAGUUGGGAAUAUCUGCUGAUAUAUUUGCUGUGACACCUUCAUUUCUGGUUGUGGAGGUGAAGAAAGCUUGUGGUGAUACAUUGGAAUAUAAUCAAUUCUGCAGCAAAGAG